This 5211-nucleotide ribosomal RNA is filed under the name Triticum aestivum (bread wheat). Its description in RNAcentral is "partial small subunit ribosomal RNA". Lineage: Eukaryota; Viridiplantae; Streptophyta; Magnoliopsida; Poales; Poaceae. The record is from RNAcentral.
AUGUCUCUGACUGACGAGGAUUUUCUGUGGUGUGUUUCACGUGUGUGCCUCCGUGCACAAAACCACGCCACGGGUUAUAUAUACAUUCACUACACGGUCUCUGCUCUUCUCGUUCCCCUCGGACGGGUGCUGCGCUUUGAUUUCAUCGCCCUCCCAAGAAUGGACGGCGCGAUUGGGUGGCUGGCGGGCAGCAUCCUGGACACCCUCUCCGCCGCGCAGCUGCAGGCGUGGAUCCGCCGGGCGGGGCUCGCCCAUGACAUCCAGAUGCUCGAGGCGGAGGUCGAGAUGGUGGACAUCGGAUACGCCGCCGUGGGCGUGAGGGCCGGGGACAGGCCGCUGCUGGCCCGCUCCCUCGCCCGCCUCCAGGAUCUGCUCCACCAAGCCGACGACCUCGUCGACGAGCUGGACUUCCACCGCCUCCUCCACACUUUCACCUCGCCGCCUGCUACGGCUUCUUCUCCAGGGAAAGUAGUCGGGUGCAAUGACACGCCCAUACAAUCUACGCUCGCCGACCUCUUCAUCCACUCCCCUUGUACAGAUUCAUCCUCAGAUGAUGCUUUGGGCGAUCAGGAAGACGUAUUUGGGGGUGUGCAACUCCAUGAAAAAUACAGGGGAGAUAUGGAUAUGGUGACUAGCCAGGUUGCCAAUAAGAGGCAGUCGUUUUCGAUAUGGGAGCAUUACGAGCUCGUGGACCAAGAUGGAAACGAUUGUCGGGUCAAAUGUGUUCGCUGCGGCUCGGAGCUGAUGGUUAGGCACGGAUUGAGCCCAUCGCAUUUGAGGCGCCAUGUCAGGAGUGCAUCUUGUGAGAACAAAAGCGAAGCAACUCAAUUUUUGAACCGCACACAUAGUGCUCGGAGAGAGCAGGAAGACAUAUUUGGGGCAGUGCUAGUCAAUAAGAAAUCAAGGGGAGAUAUAUAUGCACAGAGUAGGCAGGGUGGCAAGACACGGUCACCGGUAUGGGAGCACUUUGUCAUCUCGGAAGCUGAUGAGAACAGCAGGCCUGUGAAAGCCAAGUGUGUUCACUGUGGCUCGGAGCUCAACUGUGGACCCAAACAUGGGACAUCAGGUUUGAAACGCCAUAUUGAUAGUGCAGCUUGUACCAAGAAAAAACAUGCAGCCGACAAGCCGCUAAACACUUCAAGCAGCGCUGACAGUAUAGAAAAUGUUGAAACUGUUGUGAUUCCUGGUUCACACAGCAGAAAAAGGAGUAGAAUGGAUGCGGAGUCAACAUGCGGGACCAAGCCUAAAACACACCUUUGGAACAAGGCUGAAUCUUUGCAUAGGAUACAAGAAAUAACUCGCCUGUUACAAGACAUAUCAGGGGUUCUGAGUAAGGUUCUCAAGUUAUAUGGAUCAGAUUUUGUUGCAAGCUCAAAUCACUAUCGAAGUACAAUAUCAGAUCAACACCUACAAACAUCAAGUGUUAUUGCAAGGAAAGUCUAUGGAAGAGUUACAGAGAAGGACUACAUCAUAAAGUUCAUGACACAAGACAAACCCGAUGGUUCAUUUGUUCUUCCUAUUGUAGGCAGUGCAGGAGUUGGGAAGACUGCUCUUGCUCAGCUUGUAUACAAUGACCCAAUCGUGGCAGAGCACUUUGACCAAAGGAUAUGGGUUUCGGUGUCUAACAACUUCGAUGAACUAAGACUCUCUAGAGAGAUCUUAGAUUUUGUCUCUCAGAAGCAAACACAUGAAGGAAUAUGCAGCUUUGCCAAGCUUCAGGAGGUCUUGAAGAUGCAUAUCACAUCAAAGAGGGUUCUGCUUAUUUUUGAUGAUGUUUGGGAUGACUCUAACUUCCGCAGAUGGAGCCAACUAUUGGCUCCUUUGCAGUGUGGCACAAAGGGUGCUGUGAUUCUUUUGACAACUCAAAAAUUGUCUGUUGCACAAACUGUUGGUACAGUUGAACCAAUUAAGUUACGUAGUUUAGCAUAUGACGAUUUUUGGUUAUUAUUUAAAUCAUGUGCAUUUGGUGAUGAGAAGUAUGAAAGGAAUCAAAAUCUUAGCAUCAUUGGAUUGCAAAUAGUAGAGAAGUUAAAGGGAAACCCAUUAGCAGUAGCAACAGUAGGGGAACUAUUACGAAGGAGCCUUACUAUUGAUCAUUGGAAUAACAUUCUGAAGAAUGAAGAUUGGAAAUCUCUGCAACUCAGUGGAGGUAUAAUGUCUGCUCUGAAGCUUAGCUAUGAUCAGCUCCCCUACAAUUUACAACAAUGCUUCUUAUGUUGUGCUUUAUUCCCCGAGAAAUAUCAGUUCCUCGAUGAGGAGCUGGCCCGAAUUUGGAUUUCCCAGGGAUUUGUGAAGUGUGAUAAUUCAAGUAAGACACUUGAGGAGAAAGGAUUGGACUAUCUGGCUGAUCUUGUGAACUUGGGCUUCUUUCAGCAAGUCGAAAGAGAAGAGACCGAUCAAACUUGCUACAUUAUGCAUGAUCUUAUGCAUGAUCUUGCUAGGGUAGUCUCAAGAACUGAGUUUGCAACUAUAGAUGGCCUGCAGUACUGUGAGAUCCUGCCAACUAUACGCCAUUUAUCAAUAGUAAGUGAUUCUGGAUACAACGCAGAUCAGCAUGGAGACAAACCUCGCAAUAAGAAGUUUGAGAAGAAAAUGCUUGCUGGAUGUACAUCGCUGAGGAAAUUGAGGACAUUGGUAUUCAUUGGGCAGUAUGACAUGUUCUUCAAAUCCUUUCAGGAUAUAUUCCGGGAGGCACAUAAUUUGCGCCUGCUACAAAUUUCUGCAGCAUCUGAUGGUUUAAAUCCUUUACUGUGCAGUUCUGUGAAUUUGAAACAUCUUCGCUACUUGGACAUCAAAGCUGCUGAUGGGCUUGGUGCUUUGCCUCAAAUUUUGAGCAAGUUUUGCCAUCUUCAAGUAUUACAUGUUGGCUCAUACACCAAUCCUACUAUGCCUGUCAGCAUUGACCAUGUUUUUAGGUUGCGGCAUCUUGUUAUAGAAGAGGGGGCAUACUCUUCCAUUGCUAACAUUGGUAACCUGACAUCUCUUCAGGAGCUACCCAAUUUUGUGGUUCAGAAUUCAAGCGGCUUUGAGAUAACACAACUCCAGUCCAUGAAAGAGCUUGUACGACUUGGGGUGUCUCAACUUGAAAAUGUUAAAACUCGGGAGGAGGCUUAUGGGGCAGGAUUAAGAGAGAAGCAACACUUGAAAGUGUUGCACUUGUCCUGGGGAGUUGCCUCGUCAGAUGGUGAAUAUGGUAGGGACAUGAACUCUGUUACAGAUUGGUUGUCGGAGGAUGUUAUCGAGGGCCUUAAACCACAGAAUAACCUAAAGCAUCUGCGGAUAUCUGGGUACAAUGGGCAUCUCUCCCCAAUUUGGCUUGCCUCGGUUACCUCUUUGCAAACGCUUCAUAUAGAGGGUUGUGGAAAAUUGGAAAUGCUUACAUCUAUUGAACAGCUUCCUUUUCUUAGAAAGCUGAAGUUGAUGAAACUGCCAAGUAUGACAGAAAUGUCAAUUCCUUCAUUGGUGGAACUGGUAUUAAUUCAAAUGCCGAAGUUGGAGCGGUUUUCCUGCAUUUCCACUAGGGACUUGAGCUCUGAUUUAAGGGUUCUGAAGAUUAAGAAGUGUCCUGCAGUGAAGAUCUUUCCUCUAUUUGAGAGCUCGCUGAAAUUUAAAAUCGAGCAGAAGUCAUGGUUGCCCAGUCUGAGGGAACUCGUUAUCCAUGGAUGUCCUAAUUUACUUGUGCCACAUGCCAUUCCUCUAUCACCUACAAUUUCCAAACUAUCCGUCGUUGACGUUCCAACACUCCCAAGGAUAGAGGGAUCUUCUGGUGACACAUUAACAGUUGGAUCCAGAAGUGAGGGCUAUGAUAAUUUUGAUCCUUCUUCUGAUGUGAUGACUACACUGGAUUGCAAAAUUUUGGCAUUCCACAACCUGAGGGGCCUCAGAUACUUGCGUAUAGAUGGUUGCCAAAAUCUAGUGUCUAUUGCAUUCACAGGAUUAGGGGAACUUAUUUCUUUAAGGAGUUUGGAAAUAUGUAGCUGUCGAAAACUUUUCUCGUCAAAUGUUAUACCAGAGCAUACCCGUUCAGAUGAGACAGCUGCAAGUUGCAAGCCCCUCCCAUCUCUCGUCACUCUCAGAAUUAAGUGUUGUGGAAUAGCAGGAAAGUGGCUAUCUUCGAUGCUGGGAUAUGUGCCGGCCCUGGUGGAAUUAUUUUUAGAGGACUGCCCUGGGAUAACACAGUUAACGAUAGAAGGAGAAGAAGAAGAAAACAUUCAACCUUAUGGUACCUCAGUUCCAGUGGAUUCAUCAUCAGGAGGUCCAGAUGACACAUUGCUGACAAGCUCAGCCCAAGAUGGACUCUUGUGCCUUCCACUAAAUCUCAUGUCCUCUCUCAAGAAGAUAUCGAUUCGGGAGUGCCCCCAUCUAGUAUUUCACAGGAAUAACAAAGACUUGUCUGGAUUUACCUGCCUUGAGAAGCUAACAAUUUGGGGAUGCCCCGGGCUGCUCUCAUCUUUGGUGGAUAAAGAUGGAAAUGAUGAUCAGAGGAACGGAAGAUGGCUCCUACCGAAAUCACUUGUAGAACUCGAGAUCCGUGGUGAUUCACCGGAAAUGCUGCAGCCCUGUUUUGCAGGGAAUGUAACCAACCUCAAAAAUAUAGAAGUGUGGUUCAGCCCAAGUCUGAGAUCUCUACAGCUGCAUACCUGCACAUCACUGGAAGAGUUGAUAAUUGGAAACUGUGGAUCACUUGCCGCACCAGAGAGCUUGCAGUUCCUUGGCAGCCUUAAGUAUUUGAAAGUAUUCAGAUCCCCUGGUGUGCUUCCAUGUUUGGAGAAUUUGUCAAAGCAGGGCUAUGCUUUAUUCCCUGGACUAAAAAGGCUUGUGACCGAUGGCCCCUCUGUCUUUACCAUGUCAGUCUGCAAGCAACUCAACUCCCUCCAACGCCUAGAACUUGAAAACUGGGAGUUUGUAACGAGACUAACAGAGGGGCAGGAGAGAGGGCUUCAGCUUCUGACAUCAUUGGAAGAGCUGGAAUUCCGGGGUUGCAGUUCCGAUCUCAAAUAUCUUCCUGCGGGGUUGCACAGCCUUCCUUCGCUCAAGAGGUUGAAGGUCAAUGGUUGUUUAGGAAUCUCAAGGCUGCCGGAAAAGGGCCUCCCAUCCUCGCUGCAAGAACUGGAUAUCAGCAAUUGCAGCAAGGUGUUUAAUGAUCACUGCAAGUCUCUAGCAACAGGGAAGCUAAAGGUCAAAAUUGUUGGAAAUACACAAACUGCUUAA